AUUGAACGCUGGCGGCAGGCUUAACACAUGCAAGUCGAGCGGAGCGAAGGUGCUUGCACCUUAGCUUAGCGGCGGACGGGUGAGUAAUGCUUAGGAAUCUGCCUAUUAGUGGGGGACAACGUUUCGAAAGGAACGCUAAUACCGCAUACGUCCUACGGGAGAAAGCAGGGGAUCUUCGGACCUUGUGCUAAUAGAUGAGCCUAAGUCGGAUUAGCUAGUUGGUGGGGUAAAGGCCUACCAAGGCGACGAUCUGUAGCGGGUCUGAGAGGAUGAUCCGCCACACUGGGACUGAGACACGGCCCAGAAUCAGAAGGGAGGCAGCAGUGGGGGAUAUUGGACAAUGGGCGAAAGCCUGAUCCAGCCAUGCCGCGUGUGUGAAGAAGGCCUUUUGGUUGUAAAGCACUUUAAGCGAGGAGGAGGAGCUUCAGGUUAAUACCCUGGAUGCUUGGACGUUACUCGCAGAAUAAGCACCGGCUAACUCUGUGCCAGCAGCCGCGGUAA
RNAcentral lists this ribosomal RNA (501 nucleotides) under uncultured bacterium. RNAcentral describes it as "partial 16S ribosomal RNA". It matches the Rfam family "Bacterial small subunit ribosomal RNA", at positions 30 to 523 of the family's 1533-position model. The record is from RNAcentral.